AUGCAAGUCGAACGGAAAGGCCCUGCUUGCAGGGUACUCGAGUGGCGAACGGGUGAGUAACACGUGGGUGAUCUGCCCAGCACUUCGGGAUAAGCCUGGGAAACUGGGUCUAAUACCGGAUAGGAGCCACUUUUAGUGUGAUGGUUGGUAAAGUUUUUCGGUUGUAGGAUGAGCUCGCGGCCUAUCAGCUUGUUGGUGGGGUAAUGGCCUACCAAGGCGGCGACGGUAGCCGGCCUGAGAGGGUGGACGGCCACAUUGGGACUGAGAUACGGCCAGACUCC
RNAcentral lists this ribosomal RNA (281 nucleotides) under uncultured bacterium. RNAcentral's name for it is "partial 16S ribosomal RNA". It matches the Rfam family "Bacterial small subunit ribosomal RNA", at positions 55 to 339 of the family's 1533-position model. The record is from RNAcentral.